UGAGGGAAUAUUGGGUCAAUGGGGCGGAAGCCUGAACCAGCCAAGUCGCGUGAGGGAAGACGGUCCUACGGAUUGUAAACCUCUUUAGCCGGGGAGUGAAGUGCGUGACGGGUCACGCAUUGAGAGUACCCGGAGAAUAAGCAUCGGCUAACUCCGUGCCAGCAGCCGCGGUAAUACGGAGGAUGCGGGCGUUAUCCGGAUUUAUUGGGUUUAAAGGGUGCGCAGGCGGCUCGUCAAGUCAGCGGUCAAAGUUCCGGGCUCAACCCGGUGUCGCCGUUGAAACUGGCGUGCUCGAGUGCGUGCGAGGAAGGCGGAAUGCGUUGUGUAGCGGUGAAAUGCAUAGAUAUGACGCAGAACUCCGAUUGCGAAGGCAGCUUUCCAGCGCGCUACUGACGCUGAGGCACGAAAGCGUGGGGAUCG
This 420-nucleotide ribosomal RNA is filed under the name uncultured Porphyromonadaceae bacterium. RNAcentral's name for it is "bacterial SSU rRNA". It matches the Rfam family "Bacterial small subunit ribosomal RNA", at positions 354 to 770 of the family's 1533-position model. Lineage: Bacteria; Pseudomonadati; Bacteroidota; Bacteroidia; Bacteroidales; Porphyromonadaceae. The record is from RNAcentral.